CGAACGCUGGCGGCGUGCUUAACACAUGCAAGUCGAACGGAAAGGCCCUGCUUUUGUGGGGUGCUCGAGUGGCGAACGGGUGAGUAACACGUGAGUAACCUGCCCUUGACUUUGGGAUAACUUCAGGAAACUGGGGUUAAUACCGGAUAGGAGCUCCUGCUGCAUGGUGGGGGUUGGAAAGUUUCGGCGGUUGGGGAUGGACUCGCGGCUUAUCAGCUUGUUGGUGGGGUAGUGGCUUACCAAGGCUUUGACGGGUAGCCGGCCUGAGAGGGUGACCGGCCACAUUGGGACUGAGAUACGGCCCAGACUCCUACGGGAGGCAGCAGUGGGGAAUAUUGCACAAUGGGCGGAAGCCUGAUGCAGCAACGCCGCGUGCGGGAUGACGGCCUUCGGGUUGUAAACCGCUUUCGCCUGUGACGAAGCGUGAGUGACGGUAAUGGGUGAAGAAGCACCGGCUAACUACGUG
RNAcentral lists this ribosomal RNA (466 nucleotides) under uncultured bacterium. RNAcentral's name for it is "partial 16S ribosomal RNA". It matches the Rfam family "Bacterial small subunit ribosomal RNA", at positions 30 to 507 of the family's 1533-position model. The record is from RNAcentral.